This 83-nucleotide transfer RNA is filed under the name Flavobacteriales bacterium. RNAcentral's name for it is "tRNA-Tyr". It matches the Rfam family "tRNA". From Rfam's summary of the family: Transfer RNA (tRNA) molecules are approximately 80 nucleotides in length. The record is from RNAcentral. Lineage: Bacteria; Pseudomonadati; Bacteroidota; Flavobacteriia; Flavobacteriales.
GGAUAGGCUGAACAUUGGCGAGUUCCGCAGACUGUAAAUCUGUCGCGAAAGCUGUGGUGGUUCGACUCCAUCUCUAUCCACCA